CGAGCGAACGCGGAUUAGCCCAAACCAAUAAAGUUUUCUUUAUUGGGGUUGCGGACAUAUCAUAACGAAGAGGUAUCGUAAUUGAAGAGGUUUGGAAAGACCUACCACAGAAGGUAAUAGUCCUGUAUGUUAAACGAGAAGACUUUAGAUAUGAUCCAGAGUACCACGGGACACGUGAAACCCUGUGGGAAGCAGGAGGGACCAC
RNAcentral lists this ribosomal RNA (205 nucleotides) under Clostridioides difficile. Its description in RNAcentral is "partial 23S ribosomal RNA". It matches the Rfam family "Bacterial large subunit ribosomal RNA", at positions 250 to 456 of the family's 2925-position model. Lineage: Bacteria; Bacillati; Bacillota; Clostridia; Peptostreptococcales; Peptostreptococcaceae. The record is from RNAcentral.